CUUGUUCAUCGCUGGAUCUCCUGCUUGCACCCCAAGAAAGAAAAAAUCAGAGCUGUGUUGUCGCUGCUACAAGAUGACCUGCUGACAGACAGUGUCAGAGACCUCGCUGAGAUUGCUGUAUUGAUCAGAUGGGGUAAAAACCCCUUCACAGUGCAAAUGGACACUUUACAUGAAAGGUGCUGGAGUCAGCAGAAAACCCAACUUGCCCUGAGCUGGCCUCUUAUCAUCACCUUGGUAAACCACUGGAUUUUCCAAAGAUCUGGGUCUGAGGAGUGCCACAUCAAUUUCUCCACCACUGGCUUGUAUCUUUCCCCCUAUUAAUGUUUGGGCUUGAAAGCAUUCCCUUGAUACAUAGCUUGACAUCAAGACAACGUCUGUUCUUAAUAUUACAGAAGACAAUGAGUAAUGCCUGCACAGUCAGCCUAUUCAUUUCAGAUUAAACAAACAAAGACCAGUGUCCCCCUUUUUGCAUUCGCCAGGUCAAUAACGAAAGAGCUAACGAAAGCGAUUACUCAUACCAUGACAGCCCACUCAUGUGAACAUGCCUAAGAGAAGUUGCGGCUCAAUUCAAAAUAAAAAACAACUACCACAAUCCUUUUUGUGUAAAAA
Xiphias gladius (swordfish) is the source of this 609-nucleotide long non-coding RNA. RefSeq lists it as uncharacterized. The record is from RefSeq and is a predicted model, not a curated record. The transcript has 3 exons. NCBI's taxonomy places the organism in Eukaryota, Metazoa, Chordata, Actinopteri, Istiophoriformes, Xiphiidae.